Long non-coding RNA from Polyodon spathula (Mississippi paddlefish), 1450 nucleotides. RefSeq lists it as uncharacterized. The transcript has 5 exons. The record is from RefSeq and is a predicted model, not a curated record. Lineage: Eukaryota; Metazoa; Chordata; Actinopteri; Acipenseriformes; Polyodontidae.
CUCACAUACUUGGCCAGCUAUGGCUUCGCCUCCAGUUAAAAAAAAAACAACAAAUUGCUUGUGAAAUAAAAUAUUCUCACAUAAUCCGAAACAACGUUGAAAAAAGUUGCAUUACGGAUUUAACGGUGGGACAUGGGAGCAAGAAUGAUGUUUGUUGCAUAGCACGAGAGAUCACAAAAAAUCCAAAAAGACAGGCCCAAUUUACGUUAUGAAGAUGCAACAGAUUCAGAAGAUGAAUGCCGCAAAAAUACUUUUCUGUCAACUACACCAAGGGUUAAAUUACCAGUAACAUCUAGAAUGAGUAUGCUGCCAUCGCCAUUUGCAAAUCAAUGAUGUGGAAUCAAUGCCAAACAACUUUCGCCCUUUGAAUGUAAAGUACUCACUUUGCUAGUAGAAGUAAAAGAUGAAAUGAAGCAGCACAAGGCCAUUUUACAUGAGCUGCAGGCCAAAGCCGGUGUGACACACACCAGAUCACUGUCACCAGAUGUUCACCUGCCUAUUGUGUUACUUGAACAGCUUCAUAACAUUGAGAAGUGCUUGGAUGAACAAAUGAAAAAUAAUUUGCUGGCUCAUCUGUCCCUAAUGGGUGGUCACUGUUUGGAUGAGACCAUUCGCCACACGCUGCAAGCAGUGCUGAUGAAUAGAGUGGCAUGCAAACUGAAUUGGGCUGGUCAUGGCACCAAGCAAAGUUUUCAGCAGACCAAGCUUCAGGAAGUCAUGUUUUGUAUGUUAUCAUUUUUACAUGUUUAAACUAUUUGUUUGCCAAUCAUUGUUUGUUAGUCUUUUUAUAGUUCACCAGGAUCAAGAUGCUUUAAAACUGUUAAAUUUAUCAAUUAGCUAUAAGACUUUAAAGCAGAAAAUUGAUUUUGACUGGAUCUUCUAUUUAGGACAGUUUUUGGCCUUGCUUCCGGUAGAAACUAAGGCUUAUGAAAUCAUUCUGCCUGUGUGUGCAUGUCGGUUUCUGUUCCCCUUACCUUUUCAUCUUGCAGGCAGAUUUCAAUUAAAUUUGGCAGAAUCCCAUAAAUUACAACAGGUACACAAUUUACUGCCUUUAUAACUGAGACCGUGUGUAUAUCCAUAGACACCAAAGAAUUGCGAUGUCAAUUAACAAGUCAUCCUAAACCCACCCAUAGGAAACUAUAGGCUUUAUUAGUUCGGGUCCUGCCCUGAACUGUUUGCUUUUUGUUUGUUUCUUCUGAUUACAAAUAGAAUAUGGGGUUUGCUUUGUGUUUUCAGGAGCUUUGAGAAUAAGUAAUUUGGGCAAAGAUGCAGCACAAGCCAUGUUUGGAGAUGUCAUUAAGUAAUGGCUAAGAUAUGCACCAGAUAGAGAAGGGGAACAGGUCGCCAAAGACACACCAGCAAUAAUUUUUUAGAAUAGUUCUCUCAAUAGUUGUUUUCUAAACCUUUUAACAAGUCACUUAAUUGUUCUGUGCAAGCUGCUGUAUAAACU